UACGUAGGGUGCAAGCGUUGUCCGGAAUUAUUGGGCGUAAAGAGCUCGUAGGCGGUCUGUCGCGUCGGCUGUGAAAACCCGGAGCUCAACUCCGGGCCUGCAGUCGAUACGGGCAAACUGGAGUGUUGCAGGGGAGACUGGAAUUCCUGGUGUAGCGGUGAAAUGCGCAGGUAUCAGGAGGAACACCGGUGGCGAAGGCGGCAUCCUGGACCGGCAUUGACGCUGAGGAGCGAAAGCCAGGGGAGCAAACGGG
This 253-nucleotide ribosomal RNA is filed under the name uncultured bacterium. RNAcentral's name for it is "partial 16S ribosomal RNA". It matches the Rfam family "Bacterial small subunit ribosomal RNA", at positions 524 to 776 of the family's 1533-position model. The record is from RNAcentral.